GCACUUACCUGGCAGGGGAAACACCAUGAUCACAUAGGUGGUUUCCCAGGGCAAGACUCACUCCUUGCACUGUGGGUGUGCUGACCUCUGUGAUUUUCCCAAAUGCAGGAAAUGGGCUGCAUAAUUUGUGGUAGUGGGAGACUGCAUCCACGCUCUCCCA
Molecule: small nuclear RNA, 160 nt
Filed under: Tupaia belangeri (northern tree shrew)
Lineage: Eukaryota; Metazoa; Chordata; Mammalia; Scandentia; Tupaiidae
Description: U1 spliceosomal RNA (ENSTBEG00000019529.1)
Rfam family: U1 spliceosomal RNA
About the family: U1 is a small nuclear RNA (snRNA) component of the spliceosome (involved in pre-mRNA splicing). Its 5' end forms complementary base pairs with the 5' splice junction, thus defining the 5' donor site of an intron.
Source: RNAcentral